RNAcentral lists this ribosomal RNA (254 nucleotides) under uncultured bacterium. Its description in RNAcentral is "partial 16S ribosomal RNA". It matches the Rfam family "Bacterial small subunit ribosomal RNA", at positions 524 to 776 of the family's 1533-position model. The record is from RNAcentral.
UACGAAGGGGGGCUAGCGUUGCUCGGAAUCACUGGGCGUAAAGGGUGCGUAGGCGGGUCUUUAAGUCAGGGGUGAAAUCCUGGAGCUCAACUCCAGAACUGCCUUUGAUACUGAAGAUCUUGAGUUCGGGAGAGGUGAGUGGAACUGCGAGUGUAGAGGUGAAAUUCGUAGAUAUUCGCAAGAACACCAGUGGCGAAGGCGGCUCACUGGCCCGAUACUGACGCUGAUGCACGAAAGCGUGGGGAGCAAACAGG